GGGUGGAUGUAUAGGCAAGGAAUGUCGAGAGAGCUAUAGCUAAAGUCAAAGACGACAAACCAGGUGACUUAUUGGAGUUGCAGGACUAUAAAUCAUCGGUCAUAUGAAUCUUCAUUUGUAAAUAUGACUGCUGGUGCUGCCGAUGAUGCUAGCGAACUUGAAACAUAUACUUUUUAGGUAUGAAUGGCUUACCUCUCCUCCUCUCGCGUCUGGUGAGGCAAUUCAUCCUCGGUUCGUGCCUCUCCUCCUCUCGCGUCUGGUGAGGCAAUUCGUCCCCGAUUCCCUCUCCUCUCGCCUCUGACUUUAUGUUGCUCAUCCCCGCUCGAUUCGUCCAUUUAGAUUAGAAGAAUCGCGUAUGAUUUGUCAUUUUGCUCGUUCUCGAUUCAUCUGCCUUGAAGUGCGUCUAAUUCGACUGAUUUUGCUCGUCCUAGAUUCGCCCGUUUAGAUAGAAAAUCGCGUUUGGUUUGAUUUACUCGUCCUCCUCGUCACUUUAGAGUCGCUUGUGAUAUGAUUUUGCUUGUCCUCGUUGUCGCCCUGAUGCUCUCGCGUGUUCUUGGGGCCGUCUCGUCGGGGGUCUCCGUCCCUGCGACUCUGGGAGGAAGCGGGCGAGCAAGCGAGCGGUCGGUCGGUCUGGUUUGCGAACUAAAGUCUGUUUGAGAAACUUCUGUUCCUGCGUUUUGUGUUCACGGUGGAGCGAUAUUUCCUGUGUUUACUUGUGCGUGCGCUUCUGUUAUCUAACGAUCCUGCGUUUCGUGUUCACGGUGGAGCAAUAUUUCCUGCAUUUACUUGUGCGUGCGCUUCUGUUAUCUGACGAUCCUGCGUUUCGUGUUCGUGUCGGGGCGACGGUUGGAGGAACGAUGGGUUCUUGGUUCGGAAAUUGGAGCAGUGUCAAAUCGUUCCCUCUAUUCCAUCACAUGCGUUGUUCGUCGGUUAUUUUCAUAUCUCAAACGCAUGCGCUUGAUACUCUGGUUGCCCUCUGUCGAUUCUUGUUCUACUGACAGGCAUGUGUGCUCCCAUCCUAGAUGUAGAGAAUCCUGUUCUUGCCUGUUACAGUUGUUUUCUGAUGCUGUUCUUUUCAAUUGUUUAUUGUUAUCAUGGUUUGCUUAUGUUCCCAUAUGGCACGAUUGAUUGAUUGUUGUUUGUUGUUUGAUUGAUUGGCUUGAGAUGGAUUGUUGUUUGUUGUUUGAUUGAUUGGCUUGAGAUGGAUUGUUGUUUGUUGUUUGAUUGAUUGCCUUGAGAUGGAUUGUUGAUUGUUGUUUGAUUGAUUUCCUUGAGAUGGAUUGUUGUUUGUUGUUUGAUUGAUUGCCUUGAGAUGGAUUGUUGUUUGCUGUUUGAUUGAUUGCCUUGAGAAGGUACAAACCAUGUAGGCCGAUUGAUUGUUGUUUGUUGCCUUGAGAUAUUACAUGUUUAUAUGGCACGACUGGUUGCUGUUUGUUCAUGGUUAUUACAAUUGAUUGAUUGUUGUUUGUUGAUUGGUAUCUAAUUUUGGUAUUGGUAGUAGGUAACAGACCUGGCGCUAUUAUUUUUCUGAACUUUCUUGUGAUUAUUAUGCCUUCACAUUGCACUGCUCCCAGAUUCAUAUCGACAUGCCCACGCUGUCUGACGAGGAUAAAGAUGUUAUGAAAAAAUGGGAUGCUCCAAACAAGAUUGACUUCCUAUCUUUCUUAUACAAGGCAUGCAGAAGAUGUGUGGCAAUGUUCUUAUUUCAGAAGUUUGCUCUGCACAAGUGCAACAUGGCUGGAAAACCUGCUGCUGUUACUUGUGUUGUGGACAGUAUGAUGGACAACCUAAGGCCUACUCGUGCAGAUGCAACUGAUGUGGCAAAUGCGGUGCUGGAUGUGAUGCCAUUCUCCUUGGUGCCGAGACUCUCCGUGGGUUGUAUCCAGUUGAGACUAUUUCAACGGUAGGCAGAAUUUGUGCUGAGGUGAACUUUCUUUUGGAGGCUGAGAAUGUCUUCAACCAGGAUUUGUACUUCAAGCGAACCAUGAAAUACGUGGGAGAACCAAUGACCCUCAUGGAGUCAAUUGCUUCCUCUGAAGUGCGGGGCUGCUAUCAAAGUUAAGGCUUCGGUCAUCAUUUGCUUCACCUCAUCUGGAUAGGAGAAAAGGAGUAUUUCUUCUUAUAGGCGCUUCACCUCAUCUUUGUAGUUUAAUGGAAAUUGAUUGAUAUAUUAUGCCGUAUCGAGUAUCUGCAGGCUAAUUGCCAAGUACAGGCCCACCAUGCCAUUCCUCGUCUAAAAACAAAUCAAUUGAAGUGGAGCUUCACAGGCGCAUUUGAAGCAAGACAAUCACUCAUAGUUAGAGGCCUCUUUCCCAUGCUUGCUGAUCCACGUCACCCGGCUGAAUCUACUAGCACUAGAAAUGAAUCAGUGUUGAAGGUUGCUCUUGACCACGGCAAAGCAUCCGGUGUGAUCAAGUCACAUGGCUUACCUUAGCCAGAAUUUCUAUAAGAAUGUCGCUCAUGUUACAUGCCUUGCUUUCUCUA
Molecule: non-coding RNA, 2484 nt
Organism: Aegilops tauschii subsp. strangulata
Lineage: Eukaryota; Viridiplantae; Streptophyta; Magnoliopsida; Poales; Poaceae
Source: RefSeq, a predicted model, not a curated record